This 450-nucleotide ribosomal RNA is filed under the name uncultured bacterium. RNAcentral describes it as "partial 16S ribosomal RNA". It matches the Rfam family "Bacterial small subunit ribosomal RNA", at positions 354 to 796 of the family's 1533-position model. The record is from RNAcentral.
GUGGGGAAUAUUGGACAAUGGGCGAAAGCCUGAUCCAGCCAUGCCGCGUGUGUGAAGAAGGUCUUCGGAUUGUAAAGCACUUUAAGUUGGGAGGAAGGGCAGUAAGUUAAUACCUUGCUGUUUUGACGUUACCAACAGAAUAAGCACCGGCUAACUUCGUGCCAGCAGCCGCGGUAAUACGAAGGGUGCAAGCGUUAAUCGGAAUUACUGGGCGUAAAGCGCGCGAAGGUGGGUUUGUAAGUUGGAGGUGAAAUCCCCGGGCUCAACCUUGGAACUGCCUCCAAAACUGCAUGGAUAGAGUACGGUAGAGGGUAGUGGAAUUUCCUGUGUAGCGGUGAAAUGCGUAGAUAUAGGAAGGAACACCAGUGGCGAAGGCGACUACCUGGACUGAUACUGACACUGAGGUGCGAAAGCGUGGGGAGCAAACAGGAUUAGAUACCCCGGUAGUCC